AUCAUCAGUAGUGGUUAAUACUAUCUCAAGAUAAUAUUAAUUACAAUUUUUUUAUAGAAACCGAUGUUUCAAUCACCUGUGUAUUUAAAAGUGGGGUUUGUGGCUUUGGUUUUCGGACCAAAGUUGGGGCUUUGCUUAAGUUAAUAUUGGUACGUGGUGGUUGAUUCAAGCAAUAACCCAUAGCUGAAUGGGCUUUGACCACCUCCAAACAAGGUGGCCACAAAGUCCAUUUCGUUUCCGGUUUCUUAGAUUAACGUCUGUCAUGAGGGAGUAUGAACUCUUUAAGAGUUCAUAAGUGCAUGUUUUUCAGAGGAGCGUGUAAUGCGCUCUGAGAGUUUGAAAGAUUCUGUUGUGCCCUCCUUCAUGUCAGUACAUUU
Molecule: small nucleolar RNA, 377 nt
Rfam family: Small nucleolar RNA snR37